CAAGAAUAAUAUUCAUGUACCAAAAAUAAUUUGGAUAGAAAAGAAUCAAUUUUUUGUCGUGAAUAGUACCCCGUAAAUAGUACUUCGGGAAUAGUACCUUGUGAAUAGUACCCCGACAUGAAAAAUACCCCAAAUACCCGAGUGAAUAAUAUUCGGGUGAAUAGUAAUUUGGGCGAAUAGUAACACGUGAAUAGUACUCCGACACAAAAAAUGCCCCGAAUACCCGAGUGAAUAAUACUAGAGUGAAUAGUAACUUGGUGAAUAGUAACCCGUGAAUAGUAACUCGUAAAAAAAAUACCAAAAAAAUGAU
This 310-nucleotide long non-coding RNA is filed under the name Panax ginseng (ginseng). RNAcentral describes it as "long non-coding RNA (PGIN_LNC014348)". Lineage: Eukaryota; Viridiplantae; Streptophyta; Magnoliopsida; Apiales; Araliaceae. The record is from RNAcentral.